RNAcentral lists this ribosomal RNA (707 nucleotides) under Salmonella enterica subsp. enterica serovar Paratyphi B. RNAcentral's name for it is "partial 23S ribosomal RNA". It matches the Rfam family "Bacterial large subunit ribosomal RNA", at positions 482 to 1190 of the family's 2925-position model. The record is from RNAcentral. Lineage: Bacteria; Pseudomonadati; Pseudomonadota; Gammaproteobacteria; Enterobacterales; Enterobacteriaceae.
GACCGAUAGUGAACCAGUACCGUGAGGGAAAGGCGAAAAGAACCCCGGCGAGGGGAGUGAAAAAGAACCUGAAACCGUGUACGUACAAGCAGUGGGAGCACCCUUUGGGGUGUGACUGCGUACCUUUUGUAUAAUGGGUCAGCGACUUAUAUUCUGUAGCAAGGUUAACCGAAUAGGGGAGCCGUAGGGAAACCGAGUCUUAACCGGGCGUUAAGUUGCAGGGUAUAGACCCGAAACCCGGUGAUCUAGCCAUGGGCAGGUUGAAGGUUGGGUAACACUAACUGGAGGACCGAACCGACUAAUGUUGAAAAAUUAGCGGAUGACCUGUGGCUGGGGGUGAAAGGCCAAUCAAACCGGGAGAUAGCUGGUUCUCCCCGAAAGCUAUUUAGGUAGCGCCUCGUGAAUUCAUCUCCGGGGGUAGAGCACUGUUUCGGCUAGGGGGCCAUCCCGGCUUACCAACCCGAUGCAAACUGCGAAUACCGGAGAAUGUUAUCACGGGAGACACACGGCGGGUGCUAACGUCCGUCGUGAAGAGGGAAACAACCCAGACCGCCAGCUAAGGUCCCAAAGUCAUGGUUAAGUGGGAAACGAUGUGGGAAGGCCCAGACAGCCAGGAUGUUGGCUUAGAAGCAGCCAUCAUUUAAAGAAAGCGUAAUAGCUCACUGGUCGAGUCGGCCUGCGCGGAAGAUGUAACGGGGCUAAACCAU